This is a non-coding RNA of Pelobates cultripes (western spadefoot toad), 202 nucleotides long. The record is from the annotation of a GenBank genome assembly. NCBI's taxonomy places the organism in Eukaryota, Metazoa, Chordata, Amphibia, Anura, Pelobatidae.
AGCACCCACACACAUACAGCACCCACACACAUACAGCACCCACAGACAUACACAGCACCCAGACAGCACCCACACACAUACAGCACCCACAGACAUACACAGCACCCACAGACAUACAGCACCCACACACAUACAGCACCCACAGACACAUACAGCACCCUCACAAACACAUACAGCACCCUCACAAACACACACAGCACCC